AGUGAACGCUGGCGGCGUGCCUAAUACAUGCAAGUCGAACGGAGAUUAAGUAGCUUGCUAUUUAAUCUUAGUGGCGCACGGGUGAGUAAUAUAUAGCUAACUUGCCCAUUACUAAGGGACAACAGUUGGAAACGACUGCUAAUACCUUAUACUCCGUAUCUAUAUAAGUAGAUACGGGAAAGUUUUUCGGUAAUGGAUAGGGCUAUAUCGUAUCAGCUAGUUGGUAAGGUAAUGGCUUACCAAGGCUAUGACGCGUAACUGGUCUGAGAGGAUGAUCAGUCACACUGGAACUGAGACACGGUCCAGACCCCUACGGGAGGCAGCAGUAGGGAAUAUUGCUCAAUGGGGGAAACCCUGAAGCAGCAACGCCGCGUGGAGGAUGACACUUUUCGGAGCGUAAACUCCUUUUCUUGGGAAAGAAUUAUGACGGUACCCAAGGAAUAAGCACCGGCUAACUCCGUG
Molecule: ribosomal RNA, 462 nt
Filed under: uncultured bacterium
Lineage: Bacteria
Description: partial 16S ribosomal RNA
Rfam family: Bacterial small subunit ribosomal RNA
Source: RNAcentral